UCUACCAACAUCCAUCUGUUUUCAUUAAUUGAUUCGAACAAUGAAUGGCAUGAAAUGAAACUUUAAUUACUAUUACUACUACUGCUCUUUCUUUCAAGCCUCACCAGCAAAUUGGUCACCAAAGUUCCUUCGAUAAUGGUGCUCCAAAACAAUGAAUCCUGCUCACAAAGAAUGUGUUUUUUUUGUUCUUGUGGUCAUCCUUUGCCUCAGUUUUCAGAAUAUAUUGCCUCCUUGAUCCAUUAAUCCCUUCUUUUUAUUCAUUCCAAUAACCAAAUCAAAUCAAAACAAAACAAAACCUUUCUAUAGUUUAAUUUUUUAAAUCUAUAACAAACAAACUCUUUAAGAAAUUCUCCGAGAUGGGUGAGUAGCGCCGAUACCAGGUUUGCCAUGUUUAAUCUGCUUGUAUGUAAUGGUGAGCUCGCCGAGAUAGUGUCCAACCAGGGUUUCCUUUCAACUUAGUUAAAACAUUUUUCAUUAUAUACCUCAAGGAUGCUUCCAAUUAUCUGAGCACCACCGCCACCACAAGCUCUCUUCAACGCACGCCUUGCACAAACACCAACAAGUACAACACAAUCCUUCUUUCUCAUGAGCAUAUUAAAAAUAGCUUCCAAAUCACCAACUCUCUUCAAUGCUUACCUAGCAUGAGCACCAACUCAGCAAAGUCUUCAAUGGGCAUCUUAAGAAUAGCCUCCAAGUCAAAGGCCCUUGAAAGUGAACUCUUUGAAGGUUCUCUUCUCUCAACAUUGGGAGACUUGACCAAAAUAAAGUUAUAUGAACUCAUUUCCUCAGCUCCAUCAACCACAUCAUCCUCACCCAUCAGUGUAGUUAUGAAAUCUUCAGACAUCGCUCUCUCUUCCCUGUCAUACUAAGAGAGCUUGUGGUGGUGCUGCUGUCAAGUAAAGAAGAAAGCACAUUAAUCUUUUGAAAAAGAUUUAUAAAGUAAAAUUGGAAUCGAAAGCAUCUGAUGAGAAACCAAGGGCGAUAAAAACCCGUUACACGACGUUGUUAUUAUACCUCAGAUGAUUGGAAGCAUCUUUGAGGUAUAUAAUGAAAAAUGUUUUAACAAAGUUGAAAUGAAACCCGAGAUGAUUGGACACUGUCUCGAUAAAUUCUCCGUUACAUACAAGCCGAUUAAACAUGACAGACUUAGUAUCAGCGCUACUCACCCAAGAGCCGAUUAAACCAAGAGCGUUGAAGAGAAGAUAAGAAAUUAAUUCCAUGAUAGAUGAUUCUUUCACAUCUUUUUAGUAAACUUGCAUUUGCCCCCAUUUCACGGGUAAAAAAUUUAGGCUCUCAUCCCCGCCAGCAACAGGGUUUGAGUUUUUCCGCCCGCAUCUGCAACCACUCAUAUAUAUAUAAAAUUAUAAAUUUAAAAAUCA
Cicer arietinum (chickpea) is the source of this 1379-nucleotide long non-coding RNA. RefSeq lists it as uncharacterized. NCBI's taxonomy places the organism in Eukaryota, Viridiplantae, Streptophyta, Magnoliopsida, Fabales, Fabaceae. The record is from RefSeq and is a predicted model, not a curated record.